RNA transcript from Mangifera indica (mango), 13800 nucleotides. RefSeq lists it as uncharacterized. The record is from RefSeq and is a predicted model, not a curated record. Lineage: Eukaryota; Viridiplantae; Streptophyta; Magnoliopsida; Sapindales; Anacardiaceae. The transcript is spliced from 20 exons.
GCAAGACUUGGGCGUUGAAUCGUCUAUCUCUUCAGCUUCUUCAUUCUUACACAAUCAUUAAUGCUUUCUUUCUUACCUGCAAACAAGUAAAGCAAACACUCUGUAGUCUGUGGUGCUUCAAAACUUACCUCUACUUCUCAGAGAAACAUACAGAUCAAGCCAUCAAGCUGUACUUGUAGUUAUCUGUUUGCUUCAAGCUAGACUAUGUUCAUUGAGGGUUGCUCUUAAAAACUUUGAUUUUUAUAGUUGUUUGUUGUGUGUGCGCGCGCGCUUUUUUUUUUUAUUUUAUUUUGUCUCCUGAGAACGCUUAGAAGUUUCAUUCUUUAUCUUUUCUGUUUCCCUAUUUUCAUUAUUGAGUUUUCGAUUAGCCUUGCUUUUAUGUUCGGUAUUCUCAGUGUAAAACUAGAUUUUGUUCAUUAAGCUUUUUUCUUAAAUAUUUGCUGAAAUAUUUUGCUAUAUAAUGUUGUCCAGUUCUUUUUCUUUCUUUUCCCUUUCCCCAUAAGCACCCUUUACUAGUCGCUUUACUUGAGAAGAAAAAAGAGAGAGAGUGUGUGUGUGUGUGUGUUCAAGUAUUUAUCGGCAAUGGCUGAAGAAAUAGCCAUCACUACUGCUGCGGGACUUGCAUCAAAUGCUACAGAGUCGGGAUAUGAUUUGCUUAAACAGCAGAUAUCGUAUAUGUUCAAGUACCAGAGCUACAUCAACGACCUCAAAAAACAAGUUGAGGAUCUCAGAAAUAAAAGAGAAACCGUAGAAAAACCUGUAGAGUCGGCUGAAAGGCAGGGGGAAGAGAUUUAUAAAGCUGUUAAGAAAUGGCUGAGUGAUGUAGAUGAGUUCACUGAAAGGGUAGAAAAGGCCAUCAUUGAGGAUGAGGAUAAAGCAAACAAGGGCGGCUGUUUCAAAUUGGGGUCAUGUCCUAAUUUGAUUCAACGUUACAAGCUUGGAAAGCAAGCAAUGAAAGCCAAAAUAGAUGGUGCCGAUUUGCUGGGGAAAGGCAAUUUUAGUAGUGUUUCCUACCGUCCUGCUCUACAGAGGACAGAAUCCAUGUAUGUUAGAGACUAUGAGACGUUUGAUUCUAGAGAGCAAGCUUUUCAGGAAAUUAUGGAGGCGUUGCAGGAUGUUAAUGUUAACAUGAUUGGGGUAUAUGGGAUGGGAGGUGUGGGCAAAACUACACUGGUCAAAAAAGUAGCUUGGGAAGCAAAGAAAAACAAGUUAUUUGAUGAGGUGGUGAUCGCUGAGGCAACACAAACCCCAGACUACAAAAAAAUUCAAGAAAAAGUUGCUUAUGAGUUAGGCCUGGAAUUUAGGCAGGAGGGUGAAUAUCAGAGAACUGAUCUACUACGUGAAAAGAUAAAGAAGCAGAAGAAUUUACUAAUAAUUUUAGAUAAUAUUUGGACAAAACUUGACUUGGAUAAAAUUGGAAUUCCUUUUGGUGGUGUUGGGAGAGAAAAAGAUGAGAAGAUCAGGCCAUGCACAAAAGUUGACUUGGAUGCAAUUGGAAUUCCUCUCGGUGAUGUUGAGAGAGAAAAAGAUGAGAAGAUCAGGCCUUGCACAAUAUUGUUAACUUCUAGAAAUCGGGAUUUAUUAAGCAAAGAUAUGAAGACUCAGAAGGACAUAUUCAUUGGUCCUCUAUCUAAUGGAGACGCGUGGAAUAUGUUUUGCAAGAUUGUGGGUGAUGCUGCUGAAAGCUCUGAUUUUCGUCCUGUAGCAGAUGAGAUUGUUAAGAAAUGUGAUGGUUUACCAGUUGCAAUUUCACUAAUUGCAAAUGCAUUGAAAAAUGAGAGUCUUCAUGCCUGGGACGAUGCCUUGGCUCAACUAAAAAAGUCUAAUCCAAGACAUAUUCUAGGUAUGAAUGAAACUUUGUAUUCUAUGACAAAGCUGAGUUACGAAUUUCUGAAAAAUGAGGAAGCUAAAUCAUUAUUUCUUCUUUGUGCUCUCCACAAUGCUGGUGAUAGUGUGUUUAUUGAUGACCUAUUAAAAUAUAGUAUGGGUUGGAAUUUGUUUGAAGUUGUUUAUACAUUGGAAGAAGGAAGGAAUAGAUUGCACAGGUUGAUAGAUCAUCUCAAAGCUUCUUGUUUAUUGGAGGAUGGUACCUAUGACAAUUCAGUUAAAAUGCAUGACAUUAUUCAUGCUGUUGCUGUAUCGAUUGCAUCAGCAGAGAAGUUGAUGUUUAAUAUUCAAAAUUUUACCGACUUGAAAGAAGUGUUGGGGGAGAGAAUAUCAAAAGAUUCAACUGCUAUAUCUUUGCCCUAUAGAAAUAUCAAUGAUGAUCUUCCUGAACGGUUAGAAUAUCCAAAACUGAAGUUGUUCUUCCUAUUUGGUAAAAAUCGCUCUCCACAAAUUGCAGAUGCUUUUUUCGAAAAGAUGAAAGAACUUAGAGUUUUAAGUGUCCACGGAUUGCGAUUCUUGCCAUUACCUUCAUCCAUUUCUUUCCUAAAAAACCUUCAAACAUUGUUUCUGAAAUCCUGCAUAUUAGGGGAUAUAAGAAUACUCGGAGAGCUAAGUAAAUUAGCAAUUCUUAGCUUGGUCGAGUCUAAUAUUGAAGAGUUGCCUGCAGAAAUCGGACAAUUGACUCGGUUGAAGUUGUUAGAUUUGAGCAAUUGUUUAAGCCUUAAAUACAUUGCCACAAAUGUCAUCUCCUCCUUGUCUCAAUUAGAAGAAUUAUAUAUGGGCAAUAGCUUUGUUGAAUGGGAAGUUGAAGGAGUCGAUAAUCAAGGACGAAGAAAUGCUAGUCUUGAAGAGUUGAAGCGGUUGUCUAACCUAACAACUUUACAUCUUCAUAUUCAGGAUGCUCGAGUUAUGCCACAAGACUUGUUUUUCAAGAAACUGAAAAGUUAUAAAAUAUUUAUAGGAGAUGAAUGGAAGUGGUCUAUUAAAUUUGACCUUUCAACUUCAAGAAUGUUGAAACUCAAGAUCGAUGAUAGUAUUCAUUUGCAGCAUGGGGUUAAAAGUUUGUUGAAGAUGACCGAAGAUCUCUCUUUAGAAGGAAUGAGUGGUGUUAGAAAUGUUAUUUAUGAACUCAGUGUGGAUGGUUUUCCACAGUUAAAGCAUCUGUGUGUAAAAAAUGAUCUUGAGCUUUUAUAUAUCAUUAACUCAGUUGCUUGGAAACUAGUUUUUCCCAACUUGGAGUCCUUGAUUCUUCGUAAUUUGAUUAAACUGGAGAAUAUAUGUCAUGGUCAACUCAAUGCAGGGUCUUUCAGAAAAUUAAGGAUCAUAAAAAUAGAAAAAUGUGAUAGAUUGAAAUAUCUCUUUGCAUUCUUCAUGGCAAAAAACCUUGUACAGCUACAAGAAAUUGAAGUGUCUGAUUGUAAGGACUUGAAAGAGAUUUUUGGUGAAGAAAAUAAUGACCAUGGUGAUGAAAUUGAAACAAAUAAUCAGACUGAACUCAAUCAGUUGUGUUCUCUAGCACUACAACGCUUGCCCAAAUUCAUAACGAUCGGCUCUGACAUGAGGGUUGUCGUUCCAAGAUUGGAGAACUUGAAAGUAUGUUCAAUUAAUUUUGAGAAUACAUGCAUUCAUCAACCUUUAGCAAUGUUUCAUUAUAGUCAAUGCCUAAAAAGUUUAACUGUGGAGGACUGUAAUGGCUUGAAAUUUUUGCUUUCAUCCUCUAUGGUCAAAAGUCUUAAUCAACUCCAAAAGCUUUUGAUAAGCAAUUGUAAGUCAAUGGAAGUAAUAAUUGACUCAGAAGGAGUACAAAAAGAGGAGAAGAUAGUCGAUAUGAGUUUUCCUAAACUAUUAUAUAUGAAGCUCGAAGUUCUUCCAAAACUUACAAGUUUUGGCACAGGAAAUUUGAUUGAAUUCCCUUUCUUAAAAGAACUUCACAUUGAGCAUUGCCCUAAUUUGAAGGCAUUCUUCUGCAAAUCUUUUUAUCCAGAAAUAGAGGGAAAACCUAAGGAAGAGGUGAACUCGGAGAACGACUUUAUUAAUAUAAACCCACUCUUCGAUGAAAAGGUUGCUUUUCCAAGCUUGGAGAAGAUGGUGCUCUUGCAUUUGGAUAGCUUGCAUCUGAUAUGGCACAACCAAACACUCCAAGUUGAUUCCUUUUGCAAACUAAAAGUAGUUAGAGUCGAAUAUUGUAAAAAGUUGUUGACUAUUGUUCCAUCGAAUUCUCAAGGGCAUCUCACCUUUCACAAUCUGGAGAUAUUGGAGGUUAGAAAUUGUUGGAGUAUGAAAAGUCUCUUUCCAGUUUCUACCGCUACUGGUCUCGUGCAACUUAAAAAACUGUGGAUAAGCUCUUGUGGGUUAGAGAAAAUUGUUUCUGAGGGAGAAGUUAAUGGGGCCCCAAUAUUUUUGUUUCCACAAUUAACACGCAUCCACCUUGAAAAUUUACGGGAACUGAAAUGUUUCUACCCGCGGUUGCAUGCAGUAGAUUGGCCAAUGUUAAGCAGUUUGGGUGUGUAUAAAUGCAAGAACAUAAAUUUAUAUGCUUCUGAAUUUCCAAGCUUCCAAGCUAGAGAAGCGGAGAGGCAGCCUGCCCUUUUUUUGUUAGAAAAGGUCAUACCAAAUUUGGAAGUGUUGGGAUUAGACUCACAUGACUUCAGACUGACAUUCCUCUACUUUGAUCAAGCUAAGAGCUUUGGCAAGCUUAAAAAUCUUUGGCUGGCUAAUUUUGAUGAUGAAUUUGUUGGUUCUUUGUUCGAUUUCCUUAAAAAAUUAAAUUGUUUGGAGUCACUUGGUUUUGCUGAUAGUAGUUUCGAAGAGCUAUUCCCCUAUGAACAAGGACAUAUAUGGAAACAAGACUUUUUAGGGAACACAUUUCUUCCAAAUCUUCAAAAGCUACGGGUACGCAGAUGUCAUUGUUUGACAAUUUUAAUGCCAUCUGCAAUGUAUUUCAAAAAUCUUGAAACUCUGGAGGUAUACAAUUGCAAUGGAUUAGCCAAGGUACUAACAAGUGAAGCAACCAAAACUCUUGUCAAUCUCACAACAAUGAGAAUAAGAGAGUGCAAGCUAUUGAUAGAGGUAAUAGCAAACCAGGGAGACAAAGAAGAAGAGGUUGUUUUUGGCCAAUUGGAAGUUUUGGAGCUUCAUUGUUUAUCAAACCUUGCAUUCUUUUGUUCAGCCAAUUAUUCCUUCAAAUUCCCUUGUUUGGAGCAAGUCAUUGUGAGUCAAUGCCCAAAAUUGAAUAUCUUUUCGCAAGGAGUUUCAAGCACACCGUUGCUAAAGAAAGUACAACUGAGUGAACUAGAUGAUGAUGUAGAAUAUUUCUGGAAGGAUGAUCUCAAUUCUACCAUUCAACAAAUAUUUACGGAUAUGAUUGGUUUCCGUAAAAUGGAAUAUGUCAAGCUCUCUGAAUUCCCCACAUUAAAGGAGAAAAUUUGGAAUGAAGGAUUGCCAGUCAGCUUAUUCUGCAAUUUAAAGUGGUUAGUAUUGGAUGAGGAUUUUGAUAAGUCAACUGCUCUUCCAUUCCAUGCAUUCUCUGAUUUAAGAAAUUUGGAGACUUUGGAGGUGAGAAAUUAUCAUUCAUUGGAAGAUUUAUUUGAUGUAAAAGGAAAGACAAUAAAGAACAGUAAGGAAGAAAUUUUUGGCUUCAACAACCUGAAAUCACUGAAAGUUCACAGUUGCAGCGGCUUGAGAUAUAUAUUUACUCCUGCCAUCAUCUUGGGCCUUGAUCAACUUCAAAAGAUUGAAGUGAAGAAUUGUGCUUUGAUUGAAGAAAUUAUUACAAAAGACGGCGGAAAGGAGGGAGCCAUUGAUAAAAUUUUCAUCCCUCAUCUGAAUUCCAUUGUUCUUGAGCUAUUGCCUGACUUGACAAACUUCUAUUCAGGAACCAACUAUUUGGAAUGCCCUUCCUUGAAACGUAUUACUAUAGCCAACUGUCCAAAGAUGGAGACGUUUGUUUUCUCUGAUUUGAAGACGGACCAUCUUGAUCAUAAUGCACCUCUUUUCAGUGAAAAGGUUGCUUUUCCAAGCUUAGAGAAGAUGGUGCUCUUGCACUUGGAUAACUUGCAGCUCAUAUGGCACAACCAAAAACUCCAUGUGGAAUCCUUUUGCAAAUUAAAAGUAGUAAGAGUCGAAUUCUGUGAAAAGUUAUUGACUAUUGUUCCAUCUAGUACUCAAGGACGUCUCACCUUUCACAAUCUAGAGAGUUUGAAGGUUAAGAAUUGUUGGAGUUUGAAAAGUCUCUUUUCAGCUUCUAUUGCUAUUGGUCUUGUGCAACUUAAAGAGCUACAGAUAUACUCUUGUGGGUUGGAGAAAAUUGUUUCUGAGGAGGAAGUUAACGGGGCCCCAACAUUUUUGUUUCCGCAUUUAACAAAUGUCCACCUUGAAAACUUGCGGGAACUCAAAUGUUUCUAUCCUCGGUUGCACACAAUAGAGUGGCCAAUGCUAAGAAGUUUGGGUGUGUAUAAAUGCAAGAAGAUAAAAUUAUAUGCUCCUGAAUUCCCUAGCUUGCAAGCCAGAGACAGGGAGAGGCAGCCUGCCCCUUUUUUAUUAGAAAAGGUCAUACCAAAUUUGGAAGUGGUUGGUUUAGACGCUUAUGCCUUCAAAUUGGCUUUCCUCCUCACUGAUGGAGCUGAGAGCUUUACCCAACUUAAAAUACUACGGCUGUGUAACUUUGAUGAUGAAUCUAUUGCUUCUUUGUUAAAUUUCCUUCAAAAAUUAAGUUGUUUGGAAUCACUUGAUUUUAGUGGUAGUAGUUUCAAAGAGCUAUUCCCCUAUGAACAAGGACAUAUAUGGAAACAAGAUUUCCAACUCCGAGGGAACACAUUUCUUCAAAACCUACAAGUUUGUAGAUGUCAUUGUUUGACAAUUUUAAUACCCUCCGCAACGUCUUUCAAUAAUCUGAAAUCUCUGGAGAUAUGCAAUUGCAAUGGAUUAGCCAAGGUAUUGACAAGUGAAGCAACCAAAACUCUCAUCAAUCUCACAACAAUGAGAAUAAGAGAGUGCAAGUUAUUGACAGAGGUAAUAGCAAAUGAUGGAGACAGAGAAGAAGAGAUUGUUUUUGGCAAAUUGGAGGUUUUGGAGCUUUACUGCUUAUCAAGCCUGACAUUCUUCUGCUCAGCCAAUUAUUCCUUCCAAUUUCCUUGUUUGGAGCAAGUUAUUGUGAGUCAAUGUCCAAAAUUGAACAUCUUUUCUGAGGGAGUGUUAAACACGCCAUUGCUGAAGAAAGUACAAUUGACAGAAUCAAAUAAUGAUAAAAAAUAUUUUUGGAAGGACGAUCUCAAUUCUACUGUCCAACAAAUAUUUAUGGAUAUGAUUGGUUUCCGGAACAUAGAAUAUUUCAAGUUCUCUGAAUUCCCCCCAUUGAAGGAGAAAAUAUGGAGUGGCGGAUUUCCAGUUAGCUUAUUUUGCAAUUUAAAGUGGCUAGUAUUGGAUGAGGUUUUUGAUUUGUCAAGUGCUUUUCCGUCCCAUGUAUUCUACAAUUUAAGAAAUCUGGAAACUUUGGAGGUAAGAAAUCACCAUUCAUUGAAAGAUCUAUUUGAUAUAAAAGGAAAGACGUUGAAGAACAGUAAGGAAGAAAUUUUGGGCUUUAACAACCUGAAAUCACUGAAAGUUCACAAUUGCAGCAGCUUGAGAUAUAUGUUGACUCCUUCUAUAAUCUUGGGCCUUCAUCAACUUAAAGAGAUUGAAGUAAAGAAUUGUGCUUUGAUUGAAGAAAUCAUUACAGAAGACGAAGGAAAGAAGGGAGCCAUUGAUAAAAUUUUCAUCCCUCAUCUGAAUUCCAUUGUUCUUGAGCUAUUGCCUGACUUGACAAACUUCUAUUCAGGAACUAACUAUUUGGAAUGCCCUUCCUUGAAAAGUAUUACUAUAGCCAACUGUCCAAAGAUAGAGACAUUUGUUUUCUCCGAUUUGAAGACGGACUAUUUUGAUCAUAAUGCGUCUCUUUUCAGUGAAAAGGUUGCUUUUCCAAGCUUGGAGAAGAUGGUGCUCUUGCACUUGGAUAACUUGCAGCUGAUAUGGCACAACCAAAAACUCCACGUGGAAUCCUUUUGCAAACUAAAAGUAGUGAGAGUUGAAUUCUGUGAAAAGUUAUUGACUAUUGUUCCGUCUAAUACUCAAGGGCGUCUCACCUUUUACAAUCUAGAGAGUUUGAAGGUUAAGAAUUGUUGGAGUUUGAAAAGUCUCCUUCCUGUUUCUAUUGCUAUUGGUCUUCUGCGACUUAAAGAUCUGUGGAUAAACUCUUGUGGGUUAGAGAAAAUUGUUUCUGAGGAGGAAGUUAACGGGGCCCCAACAUUUUUGUUUCCACAAUUAACAAACAUCCACCUUGACAAUUUGCGGGAACUCAAAUGUUUCUACCCUCGGUUGCACACAAUUGAGUGGCCAAUGCUAAGAAGUUUGAAUGUGUAUAAAUGCAAUAAGAUAAAAGUAUAUGCUGCCGAAUUUCCUAGCUUCCAAGCUAGAGACGGGGAGAGUCAGCCUGCCCUUUUUUUGUUAGAAAAGGUCAUACCAAAUUUGGAAGUGUUGGGAUUAGACGCACAUGACUUCAGCUCGACAUUCCUCCACAGUGAUCUGGCUGAGAGCUUUGGCCAACUUAAAAUUCUUAACCUGGGUAACUUUGAUGAUGAAUCUAUUGCUUCUUUGUUCAAUUUCCUUCAAAAAUUAAAUUUUUUGGAAUCAUUUGGUUUUUAUGGAAAUAGUUUUAAAGAGCUAUUCCUCUAUGAACAAGGUUUUCAAGGGAACACAUUCCUUCCAAAUCUACAAAGGCUACAAGUAUAUAGAUGUCAUUACAUGACAAUUUUAAUGUCAUCUGCAACGUCUUUCAAAAAUCUUAAAACUCUAGUGGUAUGCAAUUGUGAUGGAUUAGCCUUGGUACUAACAAGUGAAGCAGUCAAAACUCUUAUCAAUCUCACAACAAUGAGAAUAAGAGAGUGCAAGCUAUUGACAGAGGUAAUAGCAAAUGAUGGAGACAGAGAAGAUGAGAUUGUUUUCGGCAAAUUGAAAGUUUUGGAGCUUUACUGUUUAUCAAGUUUGACAUUCUUCUGCUCAGCCAAUUAUUCCUUCGAAUUCCCAUGUUUGGAGCAAGUUAUUGUGAGUCAAUGCCCAAAAUUGAACAUCUUUUCUGAGGGAGUGUUAACCACACCAUUGCUGAAGAAAGUACAACUGACAAAAUCAAAUAAUGAUGGUGAAUAUUUUUGGACAGAUGACCUCAAUUCUACUGUCCAACAAAUAUUUACAGAUAUGAUUGGUUUCCGGAACAUAGAAUAUUUCAAGUUCUCUGAAUUCCCCACAUUAAAGGAGAAAAUAUGGAGUGGCGGAUUUCAAGUCGGCUUAUUCUGCAAUUUAAAGUGGCUAGUAUUGGAUGAGGUUUUUGAUUUGUCAAGUGCUUUUCCGUCCCAUGUAUUCUACAAUUUAAGAAAUCUGGAAACUUUGGAGGUAAGAAAUCACCAUUCAUUGAAAGAUUUAUUUGAUAUGAAAGGAAAGACGUUGAAGAACAGUAAGGAAGAAAUUUUGGGCUUUAACAACCUGAAAUCACUGAAAGUUCACAAUUGCAGCAGCUUGAGAUAUAUGUUGACUCCUUCUAUAAUCUCGGGCCUUCAUCAACUUAAAGAGAUUGAAGUAAAGAAUUGUGCUUUGAUUGAAGAAAUCAUUACAGAAGACGAAGGAAAGAAGGGAGCCAUUGAUAAAAUUUUCAUCCCUCAUCUGAAGUCCAUUGUUAUUGAGCUAUUGCCUGAUUUGACAAACUUCUGUUCAGGAACUAACUAUUUGGGAUGCCCAUCCUUGGAAAGUAUUACUAUAGUCAACUGUCCAAAAAUGAAGACUUUUGUUUUCACCGAUUUGAAGGACCAUUUUGAUCAUAAUGCACCUCUUUUUAGCGAAAAGGUUGCUUUUCCAAGCUUGGAGAAGAUGGUGCUUUUGCACUUGGGUAACUUGCAACUGAUAUGGCACAACCAAAGACUCCAUGUGGAAUCCUUUUGCAGACUAAAAGUAGUGAAAGUUGAAUUCUGUGAAAAGUUAUUGUCUAUUGUUCCAUCUAAUAAUCAAGGACAUCUCACCUUUCACAAUCUAGAGAGUUUGAAUGUUAAGAAUUGUUGGAGUAUGAAAAGUCUCUUUCCAGUUUCUAUCGCUACUGGUCUUGUGCAACUUAAGGAGCUACAAAUAUACUCUUGUGGGUUGGAGAAAAUUGUUUCUGGGGAGGAAGUUAACAAGGCCUCAACAUUUUUGUUUCCGCGAUUAACACACAUCCACCUUGAACAUUUACCGGAACUCAAAUGCUUCUACCCGCAAUUGCACGCAAUAGAGUGGCCAAUGCUAAGAAGAUUGGGUGUGUAUAAAUGCAAGAAGAUAAAAUUAUAUGCUCCCGAAUUCCCUAGCUUGCAAGCCAGAGACAGGGAGAGGCAGCCUGCCCCUUUUUUGUUAGAAAAGGUCAUACCAAAUUUGGAAGUGGUUGGUUUAGACGCUCUUGCUUUCAAAUUGGCAUUCCUCCUCACUCAUCUAGCUGAGAGCUUUGCCCAACUUAAAAUACUUUGGCUGCGUAACUUUGAUGAUGAAUCUAUUGCUUCUUUGUUUGAUUUCCUUGAAAAAUUAAAUUGUUUGGAGUCACUUGGUUUUAGUGGUAGUAGUUUCAAAGAGCUGUUCCCCUAUGAACAAGGACAUAUAUGGAAACAAGAUUUCCAAGGGAACACAUUUCUUCAAAAUCUUCAAAAGCUACAAGUACGUAGAUGUCAUGGUUUGACAAUUUUAAUGUCAUCCGCAACGUCUUUCAGUAAUCUUAAAACUCUAGAGGUAUACAACUGCAAUGGAUUAGCCAAGGUACUAACAAGUGAAGCAAUCAAAACUCUUGUCAAUCUCACAACAAUGAGAAUAAGAGAGUGCAAACUAUUGACAGAGAUAAUAGCAGACGAGGGAAAGAGAGAAGAAGAGAUUGUUUUAGGCGAAUUGAAAAUUUUGGAGCUUUACUCUUUAUCAAGCCUUGCAUUCUUCUGUUCAGCCAAUUGCUCCUUCCAAUUUCCUUGUUUGGAGCAAGUUAUUGUGAGUCAAUGUCCAAAAUUGAGCAUUUUUUCGAGGAGAGUGUUGCACACACCAUUACUGAAGAAAGUACAACUAAUGGAACAAGAUGGUCAUCAAAAAUAUUUUUGGAAAGAGGAUCUCAAUUCCACUAUCAAGCAAAUGUUUUCUGAUAUGGUUGGCUUCCGUAACUUUGAACAUUUGACUCUUUCUGAAUUUCCCAACAUGAAAGAAAAUAUAUGGAAUGACCAGUUACCAAUAGACAUAUUCUGGAAUUUAAAGUCGUUAGUGGUGGAUAAAUUUUCAAAUAUUGCAAGUGGUAUUCCAUCGAAUGUGUUGUGCCAGUUCAAAAAUCUGGAAAUGUUAGAGGUAAAAAGUUGUGAGUCACUAGAACAAGUGUUUGAUUUGGAGGUAAAUCAUCAAGAAAUUUUGGGCAUAAAAAAAUUCAGAUCAUUGAAAAUUGACAAUUGUAACAGCUUGAGAUAUAUAUUUACUCCAUCUGUACUAUUGGGCCUUGUUCAACUCCAAGAGAUAGAAGUGAAAAACUGUGCUUUGAUAGAAGAAAUCAUCAAAAACGAAGGGGAGAAGGAUGUAGGAAGUGAUAAAAUUAUAAUCCCUCUAUUGAACUCUAUCAUGUUUGAGUCAUUGCCUAACUUGACAAGCUUCUAUUCGGGAAGUAAAAUUUUGGAAUUUCCUCCCUUGCAAACUAUUAUUGUUAAGGACUGUCAGAAGAUCUAUAUGAAGGAGCACAGUAUUCAUCUUUCAUCCCUUUUCACUGUUAAAGUUGUAUUACCCAGCUUGGAAACAUCUUCUUACUUCCAUAAUUUAACAAUCUUGGUUAUCGAUGGCUUUGAUCAUUUGCAAUAUCUAUUCCCAUCUUCUAUGGUGAGUAGUCUUAUCAAACUGAGGGAGCUUGAGAUAUCUAAUUGUAUGUUAAUGGAAAGAGUAAUAGAUGAAGAUGAAGGGAGAACAGAAAUGAUGUUGUUUCCUAAACUGUACCAGCUGAAGCUUAGAGAUCUUCCACAACUCACAACAUUCUGCAACUCCACAGCAAAUUCUGUUGAAAUGUCUUCCUUAUUCAGACUCUGGAUUGAUAAUUGCCCUGGUAUUGAAACAUUCAUCUCCAGUUAUGUAUAUGGUGAUAUGACAUUAUCAAGCAAAGAACCUGAAGGAAUGAGUGCAAAGGAGAACUCUACUCACGUGCCAUCUCUUUUUGAUCAGAAGGUAAGACUGCCUAGUUUGGAGAGAUUGCGAAUCAGCCAUGCUGAUCAGCUGGUAAAAUUAUGGAACAAUCAAGUCUCCAUGGAUUCCUUCAAUAAAUUAAAUCGCUUGUUUCUACGAUUUUGUAAAAAUCUUGCAAGUGUUUUUCCAUCUAACAUGCUUGGGAAGCACCAGAAGUUGGAGUUCUUGGAAGUACAAAAUUGUGAUUCAGUUGAGGAGAUAUUUGAAGUGCUCGAGAAAAGGUCUAGUAUGAUGGAGGAAAUUUUUGCCAAGGGGGAAGCAGUCCCCAGGUUUGUAUUCUCCAAAUUAGCCCACCUGUCUCUAGAGAUGCUACCAAGUCUCAAGAGUUUCUACCCAGAUAUGCAUAUUUCAGAAUGGCCAAUUUUGGAAGAUUUGAAGGUAUAUGGUUGUAAUAAUGUGGAGAUCCUUGCUUCAGAAUUAUUGAGCAUCCCAGGAAGUCAUGGAGACAGUCAACAACCACUGUUCUUCAUUUACAAGGAUGCAUUCCCUAGCUUGGAAAAAUUAGAGUUGUGUGGAAUGCCCAGGUUAAAGCAUCUAUGGAGAGGAAAUUUUCAGCCUUGCAAUGCUUUUCAAAAUCUCCAGACUCUGAAAGUAUCAGAAUGUGACAGUUUAGAAAAUUCGUGGUGCUCAUCAUUGACUUUCCGGAACUUGACAACUCUGCAAGUUUCAAAGUGUGAUGGAUUGAGAUAUUUACUGACCCCCUCAAAAACUAAAACUUUGGGUCAACUUACAAGAAUGAAUGUAUCUGAUUGCAAACAGAUGGAGGAAAUUAUAACACAUUUGGGAGAUGAAGUAAUGGAGAAUUCAAUUGUUUUCAGCAAAUUGGGUUGUUUGGAACUUCACUGCUUGUCCAGCCUUAAAAGCUUCUGUUGUGGGGAUUAUUCUCUAGAAUUCUUAUCCUUGAAAAAAGUAAUUGUUAGGCAAUGCUUGGAGAUGGAGACUUUUUGUCAUGGAAUUUUGAGUACACCAAAGCUCGAAAGACUACAGUUGACAGAAGGAGAGGAUGAAGUAGAAGAAUGUUGGGAAGGCAACCUUAAUUCCACCAUACAAUAUUUGUACAACAAUACGAAAGUGUGGAGCUCCAAAGAAGAUUGAGGUCACUCCUAUAAAUAGUUUGCGAUAGACCAUGGCUUCAUUUCCUCCGGUUGAAGAUGGACUUUCUUUCUGCCAUCUUAACUGAUUUGAUCCUCACAUUUUGUUGAAUGUGGAGUGCCCUCUGUUCACACAUUUUGUCCGGUUGAAGAAAACUAUCCAGUGUAUGGCUCAUAAAAAAUAGACAAUGGCUCCCGAAAUAGCUAUGGUUUCUGUCUCAGAAGUUGCAUCAAAGGCUACAUCUGAUAUGUAUGAUUUGCUUACACAGCAGACCUCUUAUUUCAGAUGCAAGAAAACCUGUCAUUUUUAUCAUCAAUAAUUGGUUUCAAUCAUGCCAGACAUGUUUUAAAGCAGCAAGUAAUUAUAUGUCGAAUAGUAUUGGUUUUAGACAGAUUGAUUCAACCAAUUCAACUGCAGGUCAAUCAAGUUCAAAGGCUAAAACAAGUUUUCCUAACUGACCACUGAGUCCCAAUUCAGCUGGUCAGUCCAGUUUUUAAAACUGUGUUAUGCAUUUGAAACAAGAUGGCAAGUUACUUGGUAUAAGAUAUCAAACAAACAAAAUAUAUUAUCUAUAUUUUUGGUGUA